RNAcentral lists this ribosomal RNA (928 nucleotides) under Aquimarina sp. BL1. RNAcentral's name for it is "bacterial SSU rRNA". It matches the Rfam family "Bacterial small subunit ribosomal RNA", at positions 90 to 1019 of the family's 1533-position model. The record is from RNAcentral. Lineage: Bacteria; Pseudomonadati; Bacteroidota; Flavobacteriia; Flavobacteriales; Flavobacteriaceae.
GACGACCGGCGCACGGGUGCGUAACGCGUAUAGAACCUACCUUAUAGUAAGGGAUAGCCCAGAGAAAUUUGGAUUAAUACCUUAUAGUAUGAUAAGAUGGCAUCAUUUAAUCAUUAAAGAUUUAUUGCUAUAAGAUGGCUAUGCGUUCUAUUAGCUAGUUGGUAUGGUAACGGCAUACCAAGGCAACGAUAGAUAGGGGUCCUGAGAGGGAGAUCCCCCACACUGGUACUGAGACACGGACCAGACUCCUACGGGAGGCAGCAGUGAGGAAUAUUGGACAAUGGAGGCAACUCUGAUCCAGCCAUGCCGCGUGUAGGAAGACUGCCCUAUGGGUUGUAAACUACUUUUAUAGAGGAAGAAACAGUUCCACGUGUGGAACUCUGACGGUACUCUACGAAUAAGGAUCGGCUAACUCCGUGCCAGCAGCCGCGGUAAUACGGAGGAUCCAAGCGUUAUCCGGAAUCAUUGGGUUUAAAGGGUCCGUAGGCGGGUCUGUAAGUCAGUGGUGAAAGUUUUCGGCUCAACCGGAAAAUUGCCAUUGAUACUGCAGGUCUUGAAUCAUUAUGAAGUGGUUAGAAUAAGUAGUGUAGCGGUGAAAUGCAUAGAUAUUACUUAGAAUACCGAUUGCGAAGGCAGAUCACUAAUAAUGUAUUGACGCUAAGGGACGAAAGCGUGGGUAGCGAACAGGAUUAGAUACCCUGGUAGUCCACGCCGUAAACGAUGGUUACUAGCUGUUCGGACUUCGGUCUGAGUGGCUAAGCGAAAGUGAUAAGUAACCCACCUGGGGAGUACGUUCGCAAGAAUGAAACUCAAAGGAAUUGACGGGGGCCCGCACAAGCGGUGGAGCAUGUGGUUUAAUUCGAUGAUACGCGAGGAACCUUACCAGGCUUAAAUGUAGUAUGACAGGUUUAGAGAUAGACUUUUCUUC